GACGAGCGCUGGCGGCGUGCCUAAUACAUGCAAGUAGAACGCACAGUUUAUACCGUAGCUUGCUACACCAUAGACUGUGAGUUGCGAACGGGUGAGUAACGCGUAGGUAACCUGCCUGGUAGCGGGGGAUAACUAUUGGAAACGAUAGCUAAUACCGCAUAAUAUUGAUUAUUGCAUGAUAAUUAAUUGAAAGGUGCAAUUGCACCACUACCAGAUGGACCUGCGUUGUAUUAGCUAGUAGGUGAGGUAACGGCUCACCUAGGCGACGAUACAUAGCCGACCUGAGAGGGUGAUCGGCCACACUGGGACUGAGACACGGCCCAGACUCCUACGGGAGGCAGCAGUAGGGAAUCUUCGGCAAUGGACGAAAGUCUGACCGAGCAACGCCGCGUGAGUGAAGAAGGUUUUCGGAUCGUAAAGCUCUGUUGUAAGAGAAGAACGGGUGUGAGAGUGGAAAGUUCACACUGUGACGGUAUCUUACCAGAAAGAGACGGCUAACUACGUG
RNAcentral lists this ribosomal RNA (505 nucleotides) under uncultured bacterium. Its description in RNAcentral is "partial 16S ribosomal RNA". It matches the Rfam family "Bacterial small subunit ribosomal RNA", at positions 28 to 507 of the family's 1533-position model. The record is from RNAcentral.